CAGCCGCCGCGGUAAUACGAAGGGGGCUAGCGUUGCUCGGAAUGACUGGGCGUAAAGGGCGCGUAGGCGGCGAUCAAAGUCAGGCGUGAAAUUCCUGGGCUCAACCUGGGGGCUGCGCUUGAUACUUGGUUGCUUGAGUGGGGAAGAGGGUCGUGGAAUUCCCAGUGUAGAGGUGAAAUUCGUAGAUAUUGGGAAGAACACCGGUGGCGAAGGCGGCGACCUGGUCCUUGACUGACGCUGAGGCGCGAAAGCGUGGGGAGCAAACAGGAUUAGAUACCCGAGUAGUCCCUGUCUCUUAUAA
RNAcentral lists this ribosomal RNA (301 nucleotides) under uncultured bacterium. Its description in RNAcentral is "partial 16S ribosomal RNA". It matches the Rfam family "Bacterial small subunit ribosomal RNA", at positions 509 to 809 of the family's 1533-position model. The record is from RNAcentral.